This 156-nucleotide ribosomal RNA is filed under the name Satsuma eucosmia. RNAcentral's name for it is "5.8S rRNA". It matches the Rfam family "5.8S ribosomal RNA". Rfam says of the family: 5.8S ribosomal RNA (5.8S rRNA) is a component of the large subunit of the eukaryotic ribosome. It is transcribed by RNA polymerase I as part of the 45S precursor that also contains 18S and 28S rRNA. The record is from RNAcentral. Lineage: Eukaryota; Metazoa; Mollusca; Gastropoda; Stylommatophora; Camaenidae.
UAUAACUUUGAGCGGUGGAUCACUCGGCUCGUGCGUCGAUGAAGAGCGCAGCCAGCUGCGUGAAUUAAUGUGAAUUGCAGAACACAUUGAACAUCGACACCUUGAACGCACAUGGCGGCCUCGGGUCGUCCCGAGGCCACGCCCGUCUGAGGGUCG